GGCGGGGUAGCCAAGUGGUAAGGCCGGAGUCUGCAAAACUCCUAUGCGGCGGUUCGAUCCCGCCCCCCGCCU
This 72-nucleotide transfer RNA is filed under the name Verrucomicrobiota bacterium. RNAcentral's name for it is "Verrucomicrobia bacterium tRNA-Cys". It matches the Rfam family "tRNA". Rfam says of the family: Transfer RNA (tRNA) molecules are approximately 80 nucleotides in length. Their secondary structure includes four short double-helical elements and three loops (D, anti-codon, and T loops). Further hydrogen bonds mediate the characteristic L-shaped molecular structure. tRNAs have two regions of fundamental functional importance: the anti-codon, which is responsible for specific mRNA codon recognition, and the 3' end, to which the tRNAs corresponding amino acid is attached (by aminoacyl-tRNA synthetases). tRNAs cope with the degeneracy of the genetic code in two manners: having more than one tRNA (with a specific anti-codon) for a particular amino acid; and 'wobble' base-pairing, i.e. permitting non-standard base-pairing at the 3rd anti-codon position. The record is from RNAcentral. Lineage: Bacteria; Pseudomonadati; Verrucomicrobiota.